This 301-nucleotide ribosomal RNA is filed under the name uncultured bacterium. RNAcentral's name for it is "partial 16S ribosomal RNA". It matches the Rfam family "Bacterial small subunit ribosomal RNA", at positions 509 to 809 of the family's 1533-position model. The record is from RNAcentral.
CAGUCGCCGCGGGAAUACGUAGGGUGCGAGCGUUAAUCGGAAUUACUGGGCGUAAAGCGUGCGCAGGCGGUUGUGUAAGACAGGUGUGAAAUCCCCGGGCUUAACCUGGGAACUGCGCUUGUGACUGCACAGCUAGAGUAUGGCAGAGGGGGGUGGAAUUCCACGUGUAGCAGUGAAAUGCGUAGAGAUGUGGAGGAACACCGAUGGCGAAGGCAGCCCCCUGGGCCAAUACUGACGCUCAUGCACGAAAGCGUGGGGAGCAAACAGGAUUAGAUACCCGCGUAGUCCCUGUCUCUUAUAU